UAGCCCGGCACCCGCCUUCCCCUCAGCCCUCGUUCGGCAUCGCAGCGCUGGGUGCUGUAGACGGCGACUGUUCGUGAGCGCGAAAAGAUCAUGAUGCACUAAUGCCAGUUCAUUCUUUGCUCCCCUCCUGGAGCAAUGCCUACUGAUCCCUUCCAAGAGAAAAUCUGGGUGCAGAAGGCAGAUGUUUUCUCCAGUGUCCAGCGAAGCCAAAUAGCAUGAAUGGAAAGUUGCAUCAAGUUUGUUUUUCUUCACCUGAGACAGCAUUCCAGUGUUAUCAUGGAUUCUCUGGAUGAGGCCUGAAAAGACACAGCAUGUUCCCAAGUUACAUGCAAGUUUUGCUGUAUACCUACAUUUUGAUUGGCACCAGCAUUUGAGAGAUCUGUUGAGAAACAAAUCUGCUUCUUCAAGGAGAUGUGUCUACGUGGCAGUGACAGUGCCUGACAGCUCUGCUCUGUGUGGUGGCAGCCAUCUCCUGCAACUUCUCAGUAGGACUUUUAUUUAUUUUUCAGAUAUAAAUUAGUUUCUUCAGGUCUAACAUUGCCUAUGUCAUAAGUUCUGAUACCUUUAUUUAAUUUUCAUUUUAGUCUGUUUUUUAAAUGAGCACAAGUGAGAUGAUAACCUUGCCUAGCUAAAGCCCUUAGCUUAUAAGGAGUGGCAGAUAUUUCUGAGGUGAUCAUCUGAUACAGCAAUUUGACAUGGUGGAAAGUCUGGUUCCUACUUUAACAAACUGGAAUUGGAAAAUGCUUCUCACUUAUUGCAUAUCCCUAUGUGGCAAAGCAAAGAUGACUAUGAUUAUGUACC
Phasianus colchicus (ring-necked pheasant) is the source of this 801-nucleotide non-coding RNA. Lineage: Eukaryota; Metazoa; Chordata; Aves; Galliformes; Phasianidae. The record is from RefSeq and is a predicted model, not a curated record.